AGAGUUUGAUCCUGGCUCAGGAUGAACGCUAGCGACAGGCUUAACACAUGCAAGUCGAGGGGCAGCGAGGGAGUGGCAACACUUCUGUCGGCGACCGGCGCACGGGUGAGUAACGCGUAUGCAACCUGCCCUUCACAGGGGGAUAACCGGGAGAAAUUCCGACUAAUACCGCAUACGUCCUCCGGGGGCAUCCCCGGGGGAUGAAAGAAUUAUCGGUGAAGGAUGGGCAUGCGUGAUAUUAGGUAGUUGGCGGGGCAACGGCCACCAAGCCCACGAUAUCUAGGGGUUCUGAGAGGAAGGUCCCCCACGAUUGGUACUGGAGACACGGAUCAAAACUCCUACGGGAGGCA
RNAcentral lists this ribosomal RNA (350 nucleotides) under uncultured bacterium. Its description in RNAcentral is "bacterial SSU rRNA". It matches the Rfam family "Bacterial small subunit ribosomal RNA", at positions 8 to 350 of the family's 1533-position model. The record is from RNAcentral.